This 536-nucleotide long non-coding RNA is filed under the name Brassica napus (rape). RNAcentral describes it as "long non-coding RNA (BNAP_LNC012155)". Lineage: Eukaryota; Viridiplantae; Streptophyta; Magnoliopsida; Brassicales; Brassicaceae. The record is from RNAcentral.
UUUAAUUCUUUUUCGUAAUUGAAAAACACGACGGGCUGAAAAACCUAGGUUUAGUUUUACAAGGGGUCGCAAAAGAAAAAUAAAAUAUUACGGUGGAAGCAGUUAAAUUAACUUCGAUGCAGAUUAAUGUUCACAGCAUGAUUUUACUUUUUAGAUUAAUGUUCACAACAUGAUUUUACUUUACCUGCACUCACCUCUCUCUCCCUCUCUCUCUCUCCCUCUCUCCCUCACUCACUCGCAUGUCUUUUCAUUUUCUUUUUGGCCUCACUCCUUCCAUUUUUAUUCUUCAAGAUGUAGUGGCCACAGAUCACUCUGCUCUAGUUCAUACCGCUACGCAACUUAAGGUAUUCAAAAAAUCCUACUACAACACUUUAUCCCAUUGGUAUCCUCGUUUCAGGGGGACUAUCUCUGGCCACACUUGCGGUUGAAUCUGUAUAAAUGCAAUGAAUGGAGCCCAUUAGAGACUUCAAAAUGAAUAAAUUUAAACUAUGAAUAUCCAUCAGCAAGAUCUAAACAGGAACGGUAACAGCCAUAGG